This 68-nucleotide transfer RNA is filed under the name Marmota monax (woodchuck). RNAcentral describes it as "tRNA.Ala". The record is from RNAcentral. Lineage: Eukaryota; Metazoa; Chordata; Mammalia; Rodentia; Sciuridae.
GGAUUGUGGCUCAGCGGUAGAGCGCUUGCCUAGCAUGUGUGAGGUCCUGGGUUCGAUCCUCAACACCA